UCUGACUGUGCUGUCCCGGAGCGAGGCAGCUUCUGCCCUGGAGAAACUAUCUCCCUGCUUCCAACUACGCAAAAUUCAUUGGUAACGGGCGGCGGCCCGCGGGUGAAACGCCAGAGUGGUCUGCUGAGCUGUUGCUGGGGCAGAGACGCCAGUGGACCGACCGCUGUGACUGCAGCUUCCUGAUAUUUUUUGUGUUCUUGAUAGUUCAGCAACAGAAUGACGGGGUCUCGGGGGGCUGGAGCCAAUCCAAGCGGGGUACACCCUGGACAGGUCGCCAGCCUAUCGCAGGACCACAUACAGAGACGGACAACCAUUCACAAGUUGGUCAAUUUAGACUCUCUCUUUGGACUGUGGGAGGAAGCCGGAGAACCCGGUUUGUUCAAACCGGGAUAUAUGUUUAGUGCCAAUUACGCCAGCAUACUCAAGUGAGAAGGUGGAGAUGGUGAACAUUAUUGUUAAACGUCAUGCAUUAGUAUUUUCAGAGUGAGCAUGUUAGCAUACUGACGUGUCUAACUAAACACUUUACAGAGCUGUAAACUCUCUGUCCUUGUUUUUCAAGGACAUGUUUUUUUCUAGGUACAGAUUAAACCAAUAAUUGCAAUUUGGAUCACUUUAUGGAGAUCUGUUGUCAAUUUGAAAUCAAAGGCUCUCUUUUGUUAAUUGUUGCAUUGAAAAAAAUCAUAUUAGAUAAACAAUAAAAUAACACUUCCAAGGGGGAGAACACCACUAUAUAUACACCAAAAGCUAUAGCUACACCAAGAUUUGACAUAGCAACACCUAAGCAGCACCGAGAAUUUGUAAAAAAAAAUAUAGGAAACAUAUCUUUGAAUAAUUUAUUUGACACAAUUUUGAAAAUUAGGCAGCAACAACAUGCUGUCAUAUAGCAAUUACAAAGCAAGAGGAGUGAAAAAUUCAUGUAUGUGUAUCCAUGUAUGUUCUGUUAACUGAACCCUUCCCUUCACCUUGUAGCAUAGUCUAGUAUUUUAAUAGCAGAGGAACUGUGUUGAGGAAGCUGCAGACAAGGUUAAAUAAAGCUGUAUUGUAACAGAAA
Molecule: long non-coding RNA, 1051 nt
Organism: Scophthalmus maximus (turbot)
Lineage: Eukaryota; Metazoa; Chordata; Actinopteri; Pleuronectiformes; Scophthalmidae
Exons: 2
Source: RefSeq, a predicted model, not a curated record